Molecule: ribosomal RNA, 537 nt
Filed under: Anaplasma platys
Lineage: Bacteria; Pseudomonadati; Pseudomonadota; Alphaproteobacteria; Rickettsiales; Anaplasmataceae
Description: bacterial SSU rRNA
Rfam family: Bacterial small subunit ribosomal RNA
Source: RNAcentral
ACGGGUGAGUAAUGCAUAGGAAUCUACCUAGUAGUAUGGGAUAGCCACUAGAAAUGGUGGGUAAUACUGUAUAAUCCCUGCGGGGGAAAGAUUUAUCGCUAUUAGAUGAGCCUAUGUUAGAUUAGCUAGUUGGUAGGGUAAAGGCCUACCAAGGCAGUGAUCUAUAGCUGGUCUGAGAGGAUGAUCAGCCACACUGGAACUGAGAUACGGUCCAGACUCCUACGGGAGGCAGCAGUGGGGAAUAUUGGACAAUGGGCGCAAGCCUGAUCCAGCUAUGCCGCGUGAGUGAGGAAGGCCUUAGGGUUGUAAAACUCUUUCAGUGGGGAAGAUAAUGACGGUACCCACAGAAGAAGUCCCGGCAAACUCCGUGCCAGCAGCCGCGGUAAUACGGAGGGGGCAAGCGUUGUUCGGAAUUAUUGGGCGUAAAGGGCAUGUAGGCGGUUCGGUAAGUUAAAGGUGAAAUGCCAGGGCUUAACCCUGGAGCUGCUUUUAAUACUGCCAGACUCGAGUCCGGGAGAGGAUAGCGAAAUUUCCUAG